This 254-nucleotide ribosomal RNA is filed under the name uncultured bacterium. Its description in RNAcentral is "partial 16S ribosomal RNA". It matches the Rfam family "Bacterial small subunit ribosomal RNA", at positions 524 to 776 of the family's 1533-position model. The record is from RNAcentral.
UACGGGGGGAGCAAGCGUUGUUCGGAUUUACUGGGCGUAAAGGGCGCGUAGGCGGCCACCGCAAGUCGACUGUGAAAUCUCCGGGCUUAACCCGGAAAGGUCAGCUGAUACUGCGGGGCUAGAGUGCAGAAGGGGCAACUGGAAUUCUCGGUGUAGCGGUGAAAUGCGUAGAUAUCGAGAGGAACACCUGCGGCGAAGGCGGGUUGCUGGGCUGACACUGACGCUGAGGCGCGAAAGCUAGGGGAGCGAACGGG